CCCGUCACAUCACGAAAGUGGAUUGUACUAGAAGUCUGCACGCUGACCCGCAAGGGGGGCGCUGACCACGGUGAGAUUCAUGACUGGGGUG
This 91-nucleotide ribosomal RNA is filed under the name uncultured bacterium. RNAcentral's name for it is "partial 16S ribosomal RNA". The record is from RNAcentral.